GUGCUUUCUUUGGCAACACACAUAAUGAAAUUGGAAUGAUACAGAGAAGAUUAUCAUGACCCCUCCCCAUGGAUAACAUUUAAAUUUUUGAGGCAUUCCAUAUUUUU
Otolemur garnettii (small-eared galago) is the source of this 107-nucleotide small nuclear RNA. Lineage: Eukaryota; Metazoa; Chordata; Mammalia; Primates; Galagidae. The record is from Ensembl.